Molecule: small RNA, 287 nt
Filed under: Dipodomys ordii (Ord's kangaroo rat)
Lineage: Eukaryota; Metazoa; Chordata; Mammalia; Rodentia; Heteromyidae
Description: 7SK RNA (ENSDORG00000021942.2)
Rfam family: 7SK RNA (bases 1-193)
About the family: 7SK was discovered as an abundant small nuclear RNA in the mid-70s but a possible function has only recently been suggested. Two independent studies have found that 7SK RNA binds the CDK9/cyclin T complex (known as elongation factor P-TEFb).
Source: RNAcentral
AGAUGUGAGAGCUAACUAGCUACAUUAUCUGUCACUCCAUUCAUCACCAGGGUUGAUUCGGAUGACCUGACUGGUUAGACAGGCACCCCCUUCCUUCCUCACCACUCUGUAUACAUCCCUUCUGAAGCUGCAUGCUUGGUCUAAGAGGAUGAUCUUCCCAUUAGAAAACAGCUCAAAAGCUGGGCAUGGGUGGCUCAUGCCUAUAAUCCUAGCUACUCAGAAGGCUGAGAUCUGAGGAUCGAGGUUCAAAGCCAGCCCUGGCAGGAAAGUCCUUGAGACUCUUAUCU